Long non-coding RNA from Sander lucioperca (pikeperch), 1182 nucleotides. RefSeq lists it as uncharacterized. The transcript is spliced from 3 exons. The record is from RefSeq and is a predicted model, not a curated record. Lineage: Eukaryota; Metazoa; Chordata; Actinopteri; Perciformes; Percidae.
CCUGAACCUGAACCUGGACCUGAACCGGAACCUGAACCUGAACCUGAACCUGAACCUGAACCAAGCUGUGUGUCCAUGAAGAGUGUCCAGUCCAUGGAGACACCACUACUUUAAAAAACAAGGCGACCUGUAAGGGAGAUUAAAAUGGAGAAAAGUAUGAGGGAGCAAAUUGAAAUGGAGAGGAGGAAAAUGGAAAUAAAGAGCCGAAGACUGAGGUGAGUUGUUCUGAAACCUCCAACAAACUAGAAGUAGUGUUGUCUCAUUGGGUGUGUGGUCUUCUUGUAGAGGGUCUCUGUGUUUCCAGCCCACUGUAGCCUGUCAUCCAGGUGAACUCUGGGAUAUCUAUGGUCCUGUUUUCAUCUGGUAUUAAAAUCUGAUCUGAGUGAUCUCUCAGACCCCCCCGGCUCUCUGUUCCCCGCUGGUACCUGGAAAAGGUGGCCACCGGUAUACAAUAAACUUAUUAUUAGUUUCAUAAAACAUCCCCUAAUUCACCAGUAUGUAGGAUAUUACUACACUACACUGUACUAUUACUACAGACAUUCCUGCUGUUAUGUCUCCUUUAGUUAUUUAUUAGCCUCUCAUUGGCAGAUCUCCACAGCUCUGAGUGAACUAGGGAGCUGAUUGGUCAAAGCAGCAGCUGUGAAAUGGUUUCAUUUACUUUAUGAAGUCAGCAACAUUACUAAACAUUUGGGAGAACCAACUCCUCCUGAACAACAGGGGCAUCUUAUUACAGUAGAAUCUCAUAAAGGAUAUUUUUAUUGAUUUUAAUCAACGUGUUUCUGUCAGAAAGUAAGUCAUUAUUGGCAUUUAUUUUUAAUAAUUAGGCUUAUAUACAUAUUUAUCUUAAUUAUAUAUUUCUCAGUUAUGUUAUGCAGGGAGUCUUUAACUGAACAUGUGAUCUUCAAUAAAUGUAUUUUUCUAUGAGGACCAGACCAGAGUCUCCUGAAUGUGGAUAUGCAUCCAGCUGUGUUUCCUUUAAGAGCAACCGGUCAAAGGAGGAUGGGAUUAAUUUUAAACGUGUUUCUGACAAAAUGACCAGACCAGAUUCUCCUGAAUCUGGAUAUGCAUCCAGCUGUGUUUCCUUUAAGAGCAACUGGUCAAAGGAGGAUUGGGUUGAUUUUAAACGUGUUUCUGAGGAAACGGUGGAGCCUGCUGGAGUCAGAUGGUUGACACCAGGUCUGA